UCUUUUAAUUGAGGACUGGAAUGAAAGGGUAAACUGGAAGAGAUUUUUUAGGAAUAAAAUUAUGAAGUUGGCUUUUUAGUAAAAAGACUAAAAUUUCUCUUAUAGACGAGAAGACCCUAUAAAACUUUAUAUUUAUUUUCUUUUAGGAAAGAGGGUAAGUAUUUUACUGGGGCGGUGGGAAAAAAAUCUUUUCUUAAAUUUGAGGACUUUAAGUCUUAAUAUCUAAAAAUUUUAAAAAAAGAAUAAGUUACUUUAGGGAUAACAGCUUAAUUCGCUUAGAAAGUUCUAAUCGACAAGCGAGUUUGUGACCUCGAUG
RNAcentral lists this ribosomal RNA (316 nucleotides) under Mesobuthus phillipsii. Its description in RNAcentral is "partial 16S ribosomal RNA". The stretch from base 74 to 316 matches the Rfam family "Bacterial large subunit ribosomal RNA", at positions 2048 to 2531 of the family's 2925-position model. Lineage: Eukaryota; Metazoa; Arthropoda; Arachnida; Scorpiones; Buthidae. The record is from RNAcentral.